This 238-nucleotide non-coding RNA is filed under the name Macaca mulatta (Rhesus monkey). Its description in RNAcentral is "Eukaryotic large subunit ribosomal RNA". It matches the Rfam family "Eukaryotic large subunit ribosomal RNA", at positions 2427 to 2589 of the family's 3401-position model. Lineage: Eukaryota; Metazoa; Chordata; Mammalia; Primates; Cercopithecidae. The record is from Rfam by way of RNAcentral.
UCUAGUCUGGCACGGUGAAGAGACAUGAGAGGUGUAGAAUAAGUGGGAGGCCGCCGGCGCCCCUCCGUCCCCGUGAGGGGGCGGGGCGGGGUCCGCCGGCCUUGCGGGCCGCCGGUGAAAUACCACUACUCUGAUCAUUUUUUCACUGACCCGGUGAGGCGGGGGGGUGAGCCCCGAGGGGCUCUCGCUUCUGGCGCCAAGCGCCCGGCCGUGCACGCAAAAAUAUGCCAAAAUGUAA